Molecule: long non-coding RNA, 524 nt
Organism: Syngnathoides biaculeatus (alligator pipefish)
Lineage: Eukaryota; Metazoa; Chordata; Actinopteri; Syngnathiformes; Syngnathidae
Exons: 4
Source: RefSeq, a predicted model, not a curated record
GCACUUAUGAAAUGCGCAGAAAGCGUGUUUGUGUCGUGAGCACACGUGUGCCGACGCACGAGUACGCAGUGACCUCCAAAUGAGACGGGAAGAGAAGCCAAUUGAAAGACUCGCUGACCCGACGAACAGAUGGGCAUGGCCUAAGAAGAUGGUGCCGGUUUGUCUGCAUUUGAGCAUCUACGCAUGAAGUGGUGGCCUCCAGCAACUCCUUUUUCGACUUGGCUGCUCGUCAUCGUCGCUCUCAGGUUCCGACCUCCCGAUCGGGUCGAACGUGCACGCUCUGACGAGGCCACGUUCAGUUGCGUGCUCCUAUUGGCAGCUCUGAGUGGCCAGCAGAUGAAGCGGCAGGCGCACUAAUGAAUAGAACGCUGAUUGCAGGAUCCCCGAGAUGCAAAUUACUGUUCCUGCCACCCCUGACGACCGGCAAUUACCGGGCCUCCGCAGCCAUCGCCGCUGAGGAGGAGAAGGAGGAGGAGGAGGAGGAGGAGGACGCCUUGUGCAUAUUCAUCCUUCCGUGGCCAUAU